RNAcentral lists this ribosomal RNA (253 nucleotides) under uncultured bacterium. Its description in RNAcentral is "partial 16S ribosomal RNA". It matches the Rfam family "Bacterial small subunit ribosomal RNA", at positions 524 to 776 of the family's 1533-position model. The record is from RNAcentral.
CACGUAGGGCGCAAGCGUUGUCCGGAAUUAGUGGGCGUAAAGAGCUCGUAGGUGGUUUGUUACGUCCGCUGUGAAAACCUAGGGCUUAACCCUGGGCUUGCAGUGGAUACGGGCAGACUAGAGGUAGGUAGGGGAGAAUGGAAUUCCUGGUGUAGCGGUGAAAUGCGCAGAUAUCAGGAGGAACACCGGUGGCGAAGGCGGUUCUCUGGGCCUUACCUGACACUGAGGAGCGAAAGCGUGGGGAGCGAACAGG